Molecule: long non-coding RNA, 771 nt
Filed under: Monodelphis domestica (gray short-tailed opossum)
Lineage: Eukaryota; Metazoa; Chordata; Mammalia; Didelphimorphia; Didelphidae
Description: lncRNA (ENSMODG00000031243.2)
Source: RNAcentral
UUCAGAAAAACUCUGGCAUUCUUGGCAGAUGAACAAUGAUCAAGAAAACCAAAGACAGACUACAAUAAGUUACUUCUUCAACCCACCAUAGAAGUACAGAAAAAUCAGCCAAGGUCUCCCACCAGCAAAGCCCAUGCCAGUAGCAGUACCUCUCAACAGUGCCCGAAAUGGGCCACCCUCUUUCCAACUCCAUCUUCCUGGAACAGGAGAAGAUGAAGAAGUAAAGGAAGCAAGGUUUCAUGCAGAUACAGGAUUGAACUGCUGGUCCAAAGAGAAACCAGCUAAAAGCAUUCCCAGAAAAACUUCAGCUUGGAAAAUGUAGCCCAAAGAUGGGAUCAGGAGACAUUCUUCAAGCAAAAGCUUCCAAACCUCUGAGUCUGACCACCUGAGGAAGGCACCCAUCUCUUUCCUUUCAGCUGAGCUAUAGAUCCAUCAUUUAUUCAGCCACUAGAAUUAUAUAGAUCCAACCCCCUGGGGAAGCCUACAUAUAUAUCCUUACACAUGGAAAAGGGGUACAGAUUGAAGAGACAGAGACAGAGACAAAGAGAGAGACAGAGAGAGAGAGAGACACAGAGAGAGAGAGAAAGAGACCGAGACAGAGAGACAGAGAUGUUUCCUCUGGAAUUUGGACAGAACUCAAUAUUGAGUCUCAGCUUCUGGGAGGACUAGGUGGGGCUUUUCUACUUUUGUACCUUUUAAGUGCAUUACAAUUAAACAUUGAUAUUUGCUUCCUUGGGCAUGUAAGCCACAUCAUAAAUGUUAGAUUUCCAG